RNAcentral lists this ribosomal RNA (800 nucleotides) under Bacillus licheniformis. RNAcentral's name for it is "bacterial SSU rRNA". It matches the Rfam family "Bacterial small subunit ribosomal RNA", at positions 38 to 818 of the family's 1533-position model. Lineage: Bacteria; Bacillati; Bacillota; Bacilli; Caryophanales; Bacillaceae. The record is from RNAcentral.
AGGGGGGGCGUGCUAUACAUGCAAGUCGAGCGGACCGACGGGAGCUUGCUCCCUUAGGUCAGCGGCGGACGGGUGAGUAACACGUGGGUAACCUGCCUGUAAGACUGGGAUAACUCCGGGAAACCGGGGCUAAUACCGGAUGCUUGAUUGAACCGCAUGGUUCAAUCAUAAAAGGUGGCUUUUAGCUACCACUUGCAGAUGGACCCGCGGCGCAUUAGCUAGUUGGUGAGGUAACGGCUCACCAAGGCGACGAUGCGUAGCCGACCUGAGAGGGUGAUCGGCCACACUGGGACUGAGACACGGCCCAGACUCCUACGGGAGGCAGCAGUAGGGAAUCUUCCGCAAUGGACGAAAGUCUGACGGAGCAACGCCGCGUGAGUGAUGAAGGUUUUCGGAUCGUAAAACUCUGUUGUUAGGGAAGAACAAGUACCGUUCGAAUAGGGCGGCACCUUGACGGUACCUAACCAGAAAGCCACGGCUAACUACGUGCCAGCAGCCGCGGUAAUACGUAGGUGGCAAGCGUUGUCCGGAAUUAUUGGGCGUAAAGCGCGCGCAGGCGGUUUCUUAAGUCUGAUGUGAAAGCCCCCGGCUCAACCGGGGAGGGUCAUUGGAAACUGGGGAACUUGAGUGCAGAAGAGGAGAGUGGAAUUCCACGUGUAGCGGUGAAAUGCGUAGAGAUGUGGAGGAACACCAGUGGCGAAGGCGACUCUCUGGUCUGUAACUGACGCUGAGGCGCGAAAGCGUGGGGAGCGAACAGGAUUAGAUACCCUGGUAGUCCACGCCGUAAACGAUGAGUGCUA